CCUACGGGGGGCAGCAGUGGGGAAUAUUGGACAAUGGGCGCAAGCCUGAUCCAGCCAUGCCGCGUGGGUGAUGAAGGCCUUAGGGUUGUAAAGCCCUUUCGGCGGGGAAGCGGUACCCGCAGAAGAAGCCCCGGCUAACUUCGUGCCAGCAGCCGCGGUAAUACGAAGGGGGCUAGCGUUGCUCGGAAUCACUGGGCGUAAAGCGCACGUAGGCGGAUCGUUAAGUCAGGGGUGAAAUCCUGGAGCUCAACUCCAGAACUGCCUUUGAUACUGGCGACCUUGAGUUCGGGAGAGGUGAGUGGAACUGCGAGUGUAGAGGUGAAAUUCGUAGAUAUUCGCAAGAACACCAGUGGCGAAGGCGGCUCACUGGCCCGUCUGACGCUGAGGUACGAAAGCGUGGGGAGCAAACAGGAUUAGAUACCCUUGUAGUC
Molecule: ribosomal RNA, 431 nt
Filed under: uncultured bacterium
Lineage: Bacteria
Description: partial 16S ribosomal RNA
Rfam family: Bacterial small subunit ribosomal RNA
Source: RNAcentral